This 423-nucleotide ribosomal RNA is filed under the name uncultured bacterium. RNAcentral's name for it is "bacterial SSU rRNA". It matches the Rfam family "Bacterial small subunit ribosomal RNA", at positions 355 to 776 of the family's 1533-position model. The record is from RNAcentral.
UGAGGAAUAUUGGUCAAUGGGCGUAAGCCUGAACCAGCCAAGUCGCGUGAGGGACGACGGCCCUACGGGUUGUAAACCUCUUUUGCCGGGGGACAAACGGCGGCACGCGUGCCGUCCUGAGGGUACCCGGAGAAAAAGCAUCGGCUAACUCCGUGCCAGCAGCCGCGGUAAUACGGAGGAUGCGAGCGUUAUCCGGAUUUAUUGGGUUUAAAGGGUGCGUAGGCGGGAUGCCAAGUCAGCGGUCAAAUACGGGGGCUCAACCUGCGUCCGCCGUUGAAACUGGCGUUCUUGAGUGGGCGAGAAGUACGCGGAAUGCGUGGUGUAGCGGUGAAAUGCAUAGAUAUCACGCAGAACCCCGAUUGCGAAGGCAGCGUACCGGCGCCCGACUGACGCUGAAGCACGAAAGCGUGGGUAUCGAACAGG